Molecule: long non-coding RNA, 222 nt
Filed under: Ananas comosus (pineapple)
Lineage: Eukaryota; Viridiplantae; Streptophyta; Magnoliopsida; Poales; Bromeliaceae
Description: long non-coding RNA (ACOM_LNC038955)
Source: RNAcentral
AUCACAUUCUUUACAUUUCUCUACUCUUGCUAACUCUAGCAUUCUCGUUCGUUACAAUACUUGUUCUUAUUGCCCCACUUUACUUUACUUUACACAUUGUCAUUUUCAUCAUUCUUUACAUCACUUUGGUUCUUUGCAUCACACUACCUCUAGUGUUGCUUUACUUUAACUUUAUUCUUUUCAUCAUUCUUUACUUUUCAAAUGCCACUCGAUCUAGGUCAU